UUGACCUCGGAUCAGGUAGGGAUACCCGCUGAACUUAAGCAUAUCAAUAAGCGGAGGAAAAGAAACCAACAGGGAUUGCCUCAGUAACGGCGAGUGAAGCGGCAAGAGCUCAAAUUUGAAAGCUGGCUCCUUCGGGGUCCGCAUUGUAAUUUGCAGAGGAUGCUUCGGGAGUGGCCCCCAUCUAAGUGCUCUGGAACGGGCCGUCAUAGAGGGUGAGAAUCCCGUAUGGGAUGGGGUGUCCGCGACCAUGUGAAGCUCCUUCAACGAGUCGAGUUGUUUGGGAAUGCAGCUCUAAAUGGGUGGUAAAUUUCAUCUAAAGCUAAAUAUUGGCCGGAGACCGAUAGCGCACAAGUAGAGUGAUCGAAAGAUGAAAAGCACUUUGAAAAGAGAGUUAAAAAGCACGUGAAAUUGUUGAAAGGGAAGCGCUUGCGACCAGACUCGCCUACGGGGUUCAGCCGGUAUUCGUACCGGUGUACUUCCCCGUGGGCGGGCCAGCGUCGGUUUGGGCGGCCGGUCAAAGGCCCUCGGAAUGUAACGCCUCUCGGGGCGUCUUAUAGCCGGGGGUGCCAUGCGGCCAGCCCAGACCGAGGAACGCGCUUCGGCACGGACGCUGGCAUAAUGGUCGUAAGCGACC
RNAcentral lists this ribosomal RNA (634 nucleotides) under Penicillium raciborskii. RNAcentral describes it as "eukaryotic LSU rRNA". It matches the Rfam family "Eukaryotic large subunit ribosomal RNA", at positions 1 to 649 of the family's 3401-position model. The record is from RNAcentral. Lineage: Eukaryota; Fungi; Ascomycota; Eurotiomycetes; Eurotiales; Aspergillaceae.